Molecule: ribosomal RNA, 372 nt
Filed under: uncultured Rikenellaceae bacterium
Lineage: Bacteria; Pseudomonadati; Bacteroidota; Bacteroidia; Bacteroidales; Rikenellaceae
Description: bacterial SSU rRNA
Rfam family: Bacterial small subunit ribosomal RNA
Source: RNAcentral
CCUGCGCCAGCGAUGGCCGCUUGCGAGGUGCUGCAUGGUUGUCGUCAGCUCGUGCCGUGAGGUGUCGGGUUAAGUCCCAUAACGAGCGCAACCCCUACUGCUAGUUGCCAGCGGGUCAUGCCGGGGACUCUAGCGGAACUGCCAGCGUAAGCUGCGAGGAAGGUGGGGAUGACGUCAAAUCAGCACGGCCCUUACGUCCAGGGCUACACACGUGUUACAAUGGCCGGUACAGAGGGCAGCCACCCCGCGAGGGGGCGCGAAUCCCGAAAGCCGGUCCCAGUUCGGAUCGGAGUCUGCAACCCGACUCCGUGAAGCUGGAUUCGCUAGUAAUCGCGCAUCAGCCACGGCGCGGUGAAUACGUUCCCGGGCCUU